AGAGUUUGAUCCUGGCUCAGAACGAACGCUGGCGGCGUGUUUAAGACAUGCAAGUCGCACGGGAUUGAUUGAGUAGUAAUACAAGAUCAGUCUAGUGGCGCACGGGUGAGUAACAUGUGAAUUACAUGCCCUAUAGUGGGGAAUAGCCCAGGGAAACUUGGAUUAAUACCCCAUGGUCUCGCAAGAGUAAAGGUGGCCGCAAGGCUGUCGCUAUAGGAUUGGUUCGCACCCUAUCAGCUUGUUGGUGAGGUAAUGGCUCACCAAGGCUACGACGGGUACCUGGUCUGAGAGGACGAUCAGGCACACUGGAACUGAGACACGGUCCAGACACCUACGGGUGGCAGCAGUCGAGAAUAAUUCACAAUGGGGGCAACCCUGAUGGUGCAACGCCGCGUGGAGGAUGAAGGUCUUCGGAUUGUAAACUCCUGUCAUCUGGGAGUAAGACCUGGCGAUGAAUAGUCGACAGGGUUGAUAGUACCAGAAGAGGAAGGGACGGCUAACUUCGUGCCAGCAGCCGCGGUAAUACGAAGGUCCCAAGCGUUGUUCGGAAUCACUGGGCGUAAAGGGAGCGUAGGCGGCGUGGUAAGUCAGAUGUGAAAUCCCGGGGCUCAACCCCGGAACUGCAUCCGAUACUGCCAUGCUAGAGGAUUGGAGAGGUAGCUGGAAUUCUUGGUGUAGCAGUGAAAUGCGUAGAGAUCAAGAGGAACACUCGUGGCGAAAGCGAGCUACUGGACAAUUCCUGACGCUGAGGCUCGAACGCUAGGGUAGCGAAAGGGAUUAGAUACCCCUGUAGUCCUAGC
This 800-nucleotide ribosomal RNA is filed under the name uncultured bacterium. RNAcentral's name for it is "bacterial SSU rRNA". It matches the Rfam family "Bacterial small subunit ribosomal RNA", at positions 8 to 800 of the family's 1533-position model. The record is from RNAcentral.